This 249-nucleotide ribosomal RNA is filed under the name uncultured prokaryote. RNAcentral's name for it is "partial 16S ribosomal RNA". It matches the Rfam family "Bacterial small subunit ribosomal RNA", at positions 524 to 772 of the family's 1533-position model. The record is from RNAcentral.
UACGGAGGAUGCAAGCGUUAUCCGGAUUUAUUGGGUUUAAAGGGUGCGCAGGUUGUUUGAUAAGUCAGUGGUGAAAGUCUGUCGCUUAACGGUAGGAUUGCCAUUGAUACUGUUGGACUUGAAUAUGGAUGAGGUAGGCGGAAUGUGUGGUGUAGCGGUGAAAUGCUUAGAGAUCACACAGAAUAUCGAUUGCGAAGGCAGCUCACAAAGCCAAGAUUGACGCUGAGGCACGAAAGUGUGGGGAUCAAA